Long non-coding RNA from Hemiscyllium ocellatum (epaulette shark), 280 nucleotides. RefSeq lists it as uncharacterized. The record is from RefSeq and is a predicted model, not a curated record. The transcript has 3 exons. NCBI's taxonomy places the organism in Eukaryota, Metazoa, Chordata, Chondrichthyes, Orectolobiformes, Hemiscylliidae.
CCUCGCGCCCGACGCAGAGUCGCUGUAAUGAAUGCUCGGGAAGUUAUGAAGAGAAAGGAGACGAUCCCAGUGAUUAAUGCCAAAGCCCUGUUGCCUGGGGAGAGGGUGAUGCUUGACUUUCUUGUACAGCUGCAGUUUGUGUGGUGAAGGUGCUCCCACAAUGUGGUUGGUUUCUUUAUCAAUUCUUGACAUGUUCUUCGUAUCAUCCACUGUGAAGACUGACUGCUGUGUACUCCUAUUCCUGAACCCUGCUGGAUAGGAAUAACUACGUUAGCAGAAC